AGAGCGAACGCUGGCGGCAUGCUUAACACAUGCAAGUCGCACGGGCAGGGGAAACCCUGUCAGUGGCGGACGGGUGAGUAACGCGUAGGUAUCUAUCCUUGGGUGGGGGACAACUGUGGGAAACUACAGCUAAUACCGCAUGAUGACCGAGGUCCAAAGGCCGCAAGGCCGCCUGGGGAGGAGCCUGCGUACGAUUAGCUAGUUGGUGGGGUAACUGCCUACCAAGGCGACGAUCGUUAGCUGGUCUGAGAGGAUGAUCAGCCACAUUGGGACUGAGACACGGCCCAAACUCCUACGGGAGGCAGCAGUGGGGAAUAUUGGACAAUGGGCGCAAGCCUGAUCCAGCAAUGCCGCGUGGGUGAAGAAGGUCUUCGGACUGUAAAGCCCUUUCGACGGGGACGAUGAUGACGGUACCCGUAGAAGAAGCCCCGGCUAACUUCGCGCCAGCAGCCGC
This 454-nucleotide ribosomal RNA is filed under the name uncultured bacterium. RNAcentral's name for it is "SSU rRNA". It matches the Rfam family "Bacterial small subunit ribosomal RNA", at positions 26 to 518 of the family's 1533-position model. The record is from RNAcentral.